Long non-coding RNA from Cyprinus carpio carpio, 2056 nucleotides. NCBI's taxonomy places the organism in Eukaryota, Metazoa, Chordata, Actinopteri, Cypriniformes, Cyprinidae. The record is from Ensembl.
AUUUUUUGAUCAUAACAGCUCUUCAAUGUAUAUGUUAAAAUAUAAUUAUUAUGAUUAUUAACAAUAAUAGUUUCACCCUCAAGAGAGCAGUGCAGCAGAAACCUUUUGCCUUAUGUGAUUUUGUGUGAAUUUACAAUUUUGUCCGCUUGCCUAACAUUGCAUUAUUACAUUUGUAUUCAUACACUGUCAUGUCAUUUGAGCAAUUAAUUAAAUAAUAAUACAGACUGCUAAUUAAACUUAAUACACAGUUAUGUUAACUAGCGCAAACUAUUGCUAUUGUUAUUGGUUGUUUCGCCGUUUUACCUAGAGCAUGAUUGGUUAAUCUGUCUGUUUUAAAGGAAACUGUCCAAUGAGAAUGUGCGCGGCUCUGCGCGCCUAUUUUAAAUUUGAAAAUAUGUCCGUUACUCUCGGUCGGAGCAGCUGCUUUGCGUUGAUUACUCGGUCAGACCUGGAUUAUUUUAUAUCUGCCUGUUGAAUUCUUACAUUUUGAGCGAAUAUUAGUUGAUAUGACAAAUUAUGAAGAUCAAAAGCUGGAAUGUGAACAGAGGAGGGGGUCGUACGUGGUCUGUAAAUACUGGCGAUAUCAGGUAAGAAAACAUUUUUCAGUCCUUAACAGUCUAACAUUAACGUUUAGGGACACGGGUAACUUAACUGUCAUCUUAACGUUACUGCAACCUCGUAAGAUAAAUAAGUUAUCUCUGUGUGUGUUUUUGUACUGCUUCACUAUUAGCGUAGCGAUAUUAGCACGUAUUUCAUGUGUUAGUACCAUCUGACAUUGCUGUGUUUUGUUGUUGGUAAGUUAACGUUAUGUGUUUAUGUUGUCAGCUAACGUUAGUUUAAAACUCAAACGCAUGAGAGGUAAAAAAGCGUGGGAAUGUGUAAAGUGAUAAAACCGUCAUUUAUUCUUUAGAAGUAUGUUUACAUAACCUCUUCAAACACUGAUAACGAUAUUGAAAAGAUAUUUGUGUAUUCUUUUUUUUUUUAGAUCAAGCUUUGUAAUACGAUUUUUAUCGGGGGAGAACACCCAACAGAAAGACCCAUGAUUCACCAGCUGGCGCACUGAAAGGGGAGAUUCAUGUCACCUUCAUCAGUCCUUUCUUUAAUCACUGGACACCAUUAAGGGAAAGACCCUCAGACGUGUCAUAAUAGGAUAAAUGCGGCUGCAGGUAAAAUUAUUUGAUGGGGUUAGGGUUAUUUGAUUUUGGUGUACCAAUUGGCUUUUUUUUGUGUGCUUCCCUUGCUAUGAUACACAUUUCUGAUGGGAUUGCCAUGCUUUAAGUGUAUGUUUACAUUUUUAAUCAUGUAAUAACUAAUAAUAACUAAUAACUAGUAAUAGAGCCAAAGUUUGUUCAUGCUCAAUUUUCAUUCAAGUUCCAAACUGCAAUUAUUGUUAAGCGGCAACCUAAUGGCUCUGCUCUGCCGAUGCUGUGAGGGUAGGAGGCAAAGUUGCCAUUGUGUGUAAAUUGAAAACAAAACAAUGUGGCCACUGUUGAUGUGUAGGAAUUUUUACAAGCAUGAUACAUCUUAUCUAUUUUUCAGGACAAGGCCUGGUGAGAGCCACUACAGAGGAUCAUAGCCAUUGUUGGAAUUCUGAAAGGACGUGGGUGAAUAUCAAUCUGCCAAAUGAACAUUCACAUCUGUAUAUUAAUACUGAUUAUAUAUGAACUUGUUUGUUUGUAACUGGAAAGAACUUAGCUUCUAUUGUUUUUGACUGAAGGACUUGACCGUGUUUUAAGCCUAUGUGCAUUUUCUAUUACCAGUACCUGCUCUGGCCGUGCUCCAUUUUCCAUUGCAGAUCAUACCCAGAGAUAGUACCCCUCAAUGCUGCUGGUCAGCAUAGCAAGGCCACACACAACUGCCGCGAUGUACUGUUCAAUGCGACACACACACCUGCGACCCACAUACAGCUGUCUCUUGAUUUAAGUUAAAACGUUUCAGCAUUACUCAGAAUGUAAAGACAGAUACUUAAAGGUGCUCUAAGCGAUGCCGGGAGUCGUAACUUCUUGUUGACGUUCGAAUUGUUGUCAAACAAAACGGAGGCUAGCUAGACCCUCCC